Molecule: ribosomal RNA, 386 nt
Filed under: Polysiphonia sp.
Lineage: Eukaryota; Rhodophyta; Florideophyceae; Ceramiales; Rhodomelaceae
Description: partial small subunit ribosomal RNA
Rfam family: Eukaryotic small subunit ribosomal RNA
Source: RNAcentral
AUUCCAGCUCUGUAAGCGUAUACCAAAGUUGUUGCAGUUAAAACGCUCGUAGUCGGAUUUUGGCGUGGUGCUACUGAAGUCCCUGAUUGGGUAUUGACGUUAGUCCCGCCUUUGUGGAUGGGGGCGUGGUGGUGCUUCACUGUAUUGCUGCGUUUCCGCCACUGUUUACUGUGAAAAAAUUAGAGUGUUCAAAGCGAGCGAUUGCCAUGAAUACAUUAGCAUGGAAUAAUAGAAUAGGACCUGAUCCUGUUUUGUUGGUUUGUCGGUAUUAGGUAAUGAUUAAGAGGGACGGUCGGGGGCAUUUGUAUUCCAGGGUUAGAGGUGAAAUUCUUAGAUCCUUGGAAGACAAACAGCUGCGAAAGCGUCUGCCAAGGACGUUUUCAUUA